RNAcentral lists this ribosomal RNA (254 nucleotides) under uncultured bacterium. RNAcentral describes it as "partial 16S ribosomal RNA". It matches the Rfam family "Bacterial small subunit ribosomal RNA", at positions 524 to 777 of the family's 1533-position model. The record is from RNAcentral.
UACGAAGGGGGCUAGCGUUGCUCGGAAUCACUGGGCGUAAAGGGCGCGUAGGCGGCCAUUCAAGUCAGAGGUGAAAGCCCAAGGCUCAACCUUGGAAUUGCCUUUGAUACUGUUUGGCUUGAGACCGGAAGAGGUUAGUGGAACUGCGAGUGUAGAGGUGAAAUUCGUAGAUAUUCGCAAGAACACCAGUGGCGAAGGCGGCUCACUGGCCCGAUACUGACGCUGAGGCACGAAAGCGUGGGGAGCAAACAGGG